This 433-nucleotide ribosomal RNA is filed under the name uncultured bacterium. Its description in RNAcentral is "partial 16S ribosomal RNA". It matches the Rfam family "Bacterial small subunit ribosomal RNA", at positions 29 to 507 of the family's 1533-position model. The record is from RNAcentral.
AACGAACGCUGGCGGCAUGCCUAACACAUGCAAGUCGAACGAGACCUUCGGGUCUAGUGGCGCACGGGUGCGUAACGCGUGGGAACCUGCCCUUAGGUUCGGAAUAACUCCCCGAAAGGGGUGCUAAUACCGGAUAAUGUCUUCGGACCAAAGAUUUAUCGCCUUUGGAUGGGCCCGCGUUGGAUUAGCUAGUUGGUAGGGUAAAAGCCUACCAAGGCGACGAUCCAUAGCUGGUCUGAGAGGAUGAUCAGCCCCACUGGGACUGAGACACGGCCCAGACUCCUACGGGAAGCAGCAGUGGGGAAUAUUGGACAAUGGGCGAAAGCCUGAUCCGGCAAUGCCGCGUGAGUGAUGAAGGCCUUAGGGUUGUAAAGCUCUUUUACCCGGGAUGAUAAUGACAGUACCGGGAGAAUAAGCUCCGGCUAACUCCGUG